GGAUGUGACUUGGAAGGGUGUAGUGUUGUCCCUUGCUCCUUUAUCUAUGUUUCCUGGUUGUCAUGCAGAGAGCAGAGAACAGAGAGCAGCUGUACUCUGUCAGGCCCUACCACCGUGGAGCCAGUCUACUAUGGACUGACUUCUCUGAAGUCAUGAACCAAAAUAAACCUUUUCUCCUUUAAUUUGUGGGUGCUAGGUAUUUUUUUUCCUCCAGUGACAGGAAGAUCGACUGACAUAGGUGCAAAGACUGAGAAACUAAAAUUGGAGAUACUCAAACACAAACAGACAAAAACAAUGACAUUGACUGAAGUUCAAGGCUAGCAUGGAAAAGAGAUACCAAAACGUAAGAAGGGUGCAGAGUGACAGGUGAUCAUGUGAGUUUAAUCAGAGACAUGCUCUUCCUCCAACUGGAAAACUUUCCCGAUCUUCUUCUUGAGUGUUCUCCUCAUAAUGGUUUUGAAAUGUUUGGUAGCUUUUGAGAGAAUAACAGAAUGAGAAGAAAGAUGUGUGUUUUGGAGAGAAAAAGUGGGUGGGAGAGAAACCCCUCAGGGGAUAGGGAAAAAAUAACAGCAAGAGGAUUCUGGGGAAAUCUGGGCCCAAAAGUAAAGGUUGGGAAGACAGAAAGACAAUGGUUGACGCUGAGAGAGGACUUGCAGCAAGAUAUGAGGAGCUGGGAGCAACGCAGAGAGAGGGAAGGAGGAAAGAAAUGAGGGAGAUGCUCACACACUUUCUCUCCUACACUGGACAAGGCGCAGAUCUGCUGACUGAAUCAACCGCAAAUCUGAGUAGUUUUAACUGAACUCAGAUCCCUUACCUGGAUACAGACUAGGACACUUUCAUCAUACUUAAUGAUUACCAUUUGUGAGGCCUCACUUCUUAUCACUGGUAUCAGAAUUAUGUGUUUUUUCCCUUUCCACUCGAUUCGCUGUGACACAAGCGAACAGUUGGUUUCCAGGGAGGGCCACAUGGCAGAGCUGAGACUAUUCUUCGAUGGCUGCUUUAUAAAAGUCUGCACUUUUCAUCUGGAAGGUACAUAGCGAUGUCUGUGCAGAGGGCUCCAAAACUAACUUCAGGAUGUAAGGAUGUUAAAAACCAGAGGUGGAGAACUGCCUCUGAAAUAAGAAUCAUAUUUAAAUAAAACUCCAAUUCUCCAGGCCCAGCUGUAGGAUUUAUUCCAGAAACGGUACUGUGCUACAUGUGGGAGAUGCAGAUGCUGUAAGACUAGAAGAGGAGACAAAUGGGGAAUCAGGAAAUUGUAAGUAAACCCUGAGAAAGAAGUCCAAGGUGCUGCGAUGUGCUGAUGAAGACUCCCCACCUAGAUCAGGCUGAGUGUGAUUCAGUCAAGUGAUAAAGGAGAAAGAAAUAUUACAGAAUGCCCAAGGCCAUGGGGACAAGAGACAGCACAGUAUCUAUGGCAAACAGGCACACAGUGUUUCCCAUUUCCUUUGCUCUUUGGACCAUAUGCCUGGGAUGCUCUCUUUGAGACCUGGGCCUAUUCCCUAUUGGAUCUAAAGGAGAUGAUACGACUUCUGAGGUUAUAUAAAAAACAUAGUGGUGAUUGAGAGUAGGAUGUUUGCUUGCUCCUGGAUCCCAGUCACCACGCUCUGGGGAAGCCCACACAGAUACUUGAAGAAGCAAUGUGCAAGUGUACCCGGUGAUAGACCCGGCUGGUAGCCAGUGUCAACCAUAGAAGAUUCCAGACCCCAGCAUCAGUGUCUGCCCCACUGUGGCCCCAGACCUCAAACUGCAGAGAGAAAGUACCUUCAAGCAUGGUCAGUCCAGAACCAGUCAGCGGCUCCCGAGAUCUGGCCGUGGUGGAACUCAGGCGGCUGAACAAGAAAGCAGUUCACCUCCCUUCCUGAUGAGUCAGAAAAAUGGAGUGCUUUGAAGCAACAGACCUUUACCUUGCAUAAACAAGUCUGUGUCACCUGACCUGGGAGGAACGUACCUGAAACUCAGGACGUACAGGAGAGAGCGAGCGAGCAAGCACAUUGGCGCUGCACGGUUUAAGUAGUUUUCAAGGCACGGAGCACGGAAUAGAUCAAGACUCUUGGUCCCAUCUUGGUCUAGAGUUUUGGUACAGAUUUUUUGAACAUCUUUUCUGGCUGAGGGAAAGAUACUGAGACCACCGCUCUCUUUCGUCUCCCAGCUCUAUUUCUUCCCUAGUUCUCUAUGUAAGUCUAGCUCUCAGAUCUUCUAAAUGGGACCACCAUUCCACCUUAAUGAUACCCUUCAAAUCAGAGGAGAAAUAAAGACCUUCCAUGAUUAGAAGAAGCUACAGAAAUUCAUGACCACCAAACCAGCGUUGCAUAAUACUUGAGGAAAUCCUACAGAGACAACGAGGACAACAACCAGGGAACCAAGAGGAAGAGUAAACCUCUCUGUGCGAGUGUGUCAGGAGGCAAACACAGAACCCAUGCUGUAACCUUCCUUAAUCAAGAAGACCAUUCUUCAGAAGGGAUGAGAUGGGGAAUAACUGAGCUCCUUAAAGCCGCUAGCGUCCUGCAAGUGUGCCAUGGCAUACCCUGUGUCCUCGGGAAAUGGAGAGAUGGUGCUUCCC
This is a long non-coding RNA of Cavia porcellus (domestic guinea pig), 2560 nucleotides long. RefSeq lists it as uncharacterized. The record is from RefSeq and is a predicted model, not a curated record. The transcript has 8 exons. NCBI's taxonomy places the organism in Eukaryota, Metazoa, Chordata, Mammalia, Rodentia, Caviidae.